RNAcentral lists this ribosomal RNA (459 nucleotides) under uncultured bacterium. Its description in RNAcentral is "partial 16S ribosomal RNA". It matches the Rfam family "Bacterial small subunit ribosomal RNA", at positions 338 to 795 of the family's 1533-position model. The record is from RNAcentral.
CCUACGGGGGGCAGCAGUGAGGAAUAUUGGUCAAUGGGCGGGAGCCUGAACCAGCCAAGCCGCGUGAAGGAAGAAGGCGCCAGGCGUCGUAAACUUCUUUUGUCGGGGAACAAAGGGCGCCACGCGUGGCGUUGUGAGUGUACCCGAAGAAAAAGCAUCGGCUAACUCCGUGCCAGCAGCCGCGGUAAUACGGAGGAUGCGAGCGUUAUCCGGAUUUAUUGGGGUUAAAGGGUGCGUAGGCGGUCCGGAAAGUCAGCGGUAAAAGCCCGGGGCUCAACCCCGGCGAGCCGUUGAAACUGUCGGACUAGAGACGGCGAGAAGUACGCGGAAUGCGCGGUGUAGCGGUGAAAUGCAUAGAUAUCACGAAGAACUCCGAUUGCGAAGGCAGUUCACUGGACUGCAACUGACACUGAGGCUCGAAAGUGUGGGUAUCAAACAGGAUUAGAUACCCGGGUAGUC